RNAcentral lists this ribosomal RNA (774 nucleotides) under uncultured Neocallimastigales. RNAcentral's name for it is "partial large subunit ribosomal RNA". It matches the Rfam family "Eukaryotic large subunit ribosomal RNA", at positions 24 to 633 of the family's 3401-position model. The record is from RNAcentral. Lineage: Eukaryota; Fungi; Neocallimastigomycota; Neocallimastigomycetes; Neocallimastigales.
UAUGUGAUCGUCUCUCGCAUAUCAAUAAGCGGAGGAAAAGAAACUAACAAGGAUUCCCCUAGUAACGGCGAGUGAAGCGGGAAGAGCUCAAAUUUGAAAUCUUAAAGGGUUUCCCUUUACGAAUUGUAGUUUAAAGAAGUGUUUUCUGUUGAGGUUUUGGUAAAAGUUCUUUGGAAUAGGACAUCAUAGAGGGUGAGAAUCCCGUAUUUGACCUUUACUUUCAACUUUGUGAUACACUUUCAAAGAGUCGGAUUGUUUGGGAAUGCAGUCCAAAAUGGGUGGUAAAUUUCAUCUAAAGCUAAAUAUUGGCGAGAGACCGAUAGCGAACAAGUACCGUGAGGGAAAGAUGAAAAGAACUUUGAAAAGAGAGUUAAACAGUACGUGAAAUUGUCAAAAGGGAAGCGUUUGACACCAGUGUUGUUUUUCUGAAAAUCAAUUAAAGAACUGUUUAUGCUAAGUUGUUUAGACUUUAUCAGCUAUCUGUUUAGUUUUGAGCUUUUCUUUAAUGCACUUUUCAGUUAACAAGUCAACAUCAAUUUCUUUUGCUGUAAAAAAGCUUGAGGAAGGUGGCUUGAGAUUCGUCUUAAGUGUUUAUAGCCUCUUGCCUAUGCAGUCGGAGAGAUUGAGGUCUGCAGCGUAGAUCCUUCGGGGCUAAAUGCAUUUGUGCUAAGUUAUAGCAUUUUAUAGACAACUUGUUGACUAUGAUUUGUCUUGUAGCUUACUCGCUUAUGUUAUUUUACCUACGCUUAGGAUGUUGAAGACUCUACAGAGAUA